AUUUUGCUCUUCAUUCAUUUGUGCUGUGCUCUCCACGCGCCCUCGCCUCUCUUUCCUCCGAUCCUCCGCUUCGUUCGAAUCCCACAGGUGAGGUGACCUCUUCUCUCCAGUCUCCUCUCCUUAGUAGGAUUAGGAUCAUUACGAAUUUAGGAUCGAGAAUAUAGGAUUAUGAACCAGUAGUAUUAGGAUUAUGUUUUCUUCGAUUCUUUUUCUCCUUCAAAUCAAUUCCCAAUUCGAUUUAGGGUUGACGGAUACGCGAGCAGGGAUAGCCCUCCCGCCCGCAGAAAGAUUGGGCUUUCUUGGUUUCCCUGUCGUAAUCCCUUCUCUCCAGCCAACGCGGUGAAAAUUUUGUUUCGGUGGGGGUGGGGUGGGUGGUUGCCGGGUAGGUGCUGGUGCAUCUGCUUUCAGUUUCACCACCACCAUGGAUUGGCCGCUAAACAUAUACUGAUAUACACCUGUUUCCUGUCCCCUACCCCUAGGCUAGACUACUAGGGAGAAUUC
This 501-nucleotide small RNA is filed under the name Oryza sativa Japonica Group (Japanese rice). RNAcentral describes it as "misc RNA Os10g0580900". Lineage: Eukaryota; Viridiplantae; Streptophyta; Magnoliopsida; Poales; Poaceae. The record is from RNAcentral.